CGGCUCGCCGCCGCUGCCCCCCGCCGUGGGGGCUGUUGGGCACGACCCUGACCACGGCGCCAUCCGGCGACAGCCGUCAUCCUUCCGGUGCCUGGUCGACAGCCGGCGAGGUUGUUGUUCCGAUGUCGGAGGCGGUUGCGAGGUGCCUCCGGGACGGGCGCCUCGACGGAGAGCACGCUCCGGCGCUGGCCGUGGGGAGUACUCUCCGGUGCAGCCCGCUCGCCGCUCGCGCCAUGCUCCACCUCGCGGCCGCCGUCGCCUCCCACGCUGCCGCAGGGAAGGCGCAGGCGAGGGGAUUGGUGAUCGUGGCGUUUGAUCGGAGCCCGGAGGUGUAUCUCGACUUUAUGCGGCGCCGCGGCCUUGACCAAAAUGCUUUGAAUCGAUGUGUUCACAUACUGGAUUGCUAUUCGGACCCAAUUGGAUGGAAGGAGAAGAUUAGAAGUCAGCAGCAACAUGAAAGUAGUGUGGAUCUGUGCGCAACGAACAAAGCGAACGUCAUAGUUUUCAGAAAUGUGAAGGACGUUGAUAAAUUGCUAUGCUCCAGUAUUGAUCUUGGAAGAGGGUUUGAAGGAACGGGGAAAAUCUGUUUUUCAAUUGCUGUUGAUUCGAUUAGCUCUAUGUUAAGGCAUGCUUCAGUGUCAUCAAUUUCAAGCUUCCUUAGUAAUCUUCGAAGCCAUGAUCAAAUAUCAUCAAUCUUCUGGCUUAUACAUUCAGACCUCCAUGAACCAAAAUUUUCGCGUGCUUUUGAAUGUCUCACUACCAUGGUUGCUUCAUUAGAGCCAGCUGUGGUUGAUUCCGUUCACGAGGAAGAAAUUCCAGGGGAUGUGUCUUUCCUCGAGGAAAAUUAUUCUAAAGCCAAGUUUUAUGUACGCCUUAAACGACGGAAUGGACGGGUGAAGCACCUUUAUGAGGAGUUGCAUGUUGAGGGAAACGAGGUUAGAUUUGUUUCUAUGCCUUCUGUAAGUACAGAAGUGAACCAAAGUCUAUUGCCUAAGGUUCAGUUCAACCUUGAGCUAUCAGAGAAGGAGCGCAGUGACAGGGCAAAUGUUGUUCUUCCUUUUGAACAUCAAGGAAAGGGUGAGCCUAUCCGCAUAUAUGAUGGACGGCGAUCUCUCCCAGAGGAUCAAAGAGAUCCCAAUUUAACUGCAUCUGCUCUCCUGGACGAAGUUCCAAAAUCUGCCACUCCAAAGGGUGAAAUUCAUUACAUUCGUGAUUCUGAUGAUGAGCAACCUGACUCUGAUGAAGACCCAGAUGAUGAUUUGGAUAUUUGAGUUCUCGCAUGGUUUGAGAUCUUUACCUCAGCAUGCAGAAUGCCUGAAGCAUUCGUAACACACAAGUUAACCUAUAAUCGGAAGCAAUGCGGUGAUAUGAAUGAACUACGAACUAAGAAGCUUCGAACUGUUCUUUCCAUUGCAUAUUGCCAAAUCCGGAGUAUUUUUAUUUGCCAUUGAUCAAUUAUCGAAUGAAGAGAAUACAUAUGAACAUGCUAGUACGUACCAGGAGCGAAUUCUGAACUCGUCUGUUGUCGGCACAAGAUUUAUAUGGGUCGCAUUCUUCGUUCUUAAAAUUUUCUUUGAAUGAUCUGUACAAGUAUAUGAUUGCCAAGUAAAAGAAGGCUGGAAUGGCAACAAAUGGAAGAGGGAAUUACACUCCUUUUUUCGCUCAUCAAGGAACAGACAGCAACACGAUGGGUUCAGUUUCUUCAAUGGUGCUAUCUCCUACCAACUCACCAUGAGAGUUUUUGACCGUUUGUAUACCCAGGCAUUUCGAUGCUGAAUCACGAGAGAGCAUCAGGGAAAACCAAGCCCCCAGCUGAACCUGACCCAGAGAUUCACAUGACAAUCGACGAAGUACAUUCGAUUGCAAGUAUUUUGGGCCGUGCACAGGCAAGGAAAGCUUGUGGGUCUCUACUUGGACCUUUGUGUACACCACACAGACAGCCAUGGAUGACACAUUACUCCUACUUUCUGUUGCCAACACAAGCAUAUGGCCCUGUUUAGUAUCUAAAUUUUUUUUCCCAAAACCAUCGCAUCGAAUCUUUAGAUAUCUAAAUAGAGCAUUAAAUA
RNA transcript from Oryza brachyantha (malo sina), 2066 nucleotides. It is a transcript of the gene named elongator complex protein 5-like, with no coding region annotated. NCBI's taxonomy places the organism in Eukaryota, Viridiplantae, Streptophyta, Magnoliopsida, Poales, Poaceae. The transcript is spliced from 10 exons. The record is from RefSeq and is a predicted model, not a curated record.